Molecule: transfer RNA, 70 nt
Filed under: subsurface metagenome
Description: tRNA-Ile
Source: RNAcentral
GUGAUUGCGGGUUGGUAGAAUAACGCUUUUGAUUGAGGUGGAGAUGCAGGUUCGAGUCCUGCCGAUCGCA